UACGUAGGGUGCAAGCGUUGUCCGGAUUUAUUGGGCGUAAAGAGCUCGUAGGCGGUUUGUCGCGUCGGAUGUGAAAACCCAGGGCUCAACCCUGGGCCUGCAUUCGAUACGGGCAGACUAGAGUAUGGCAGGGGAGACUGGAAUUCCUGGUGUAGCGGUGAAAUGCGCAGAUAUCAGGAGGAACACCGAUGGCGAAGGCAGGUCUCUGGGCAUUAACUGACGCUGAGGAGCGAAAGCAUGGGGAGCGAACAGG
This 253-nucleotide ribosomal RNA is filed under the name uncultured bacterium. Its description in RNAcentral is "partial 16S ribosomal RNA". It matches the Rfam family "Bacterial small subunit ribosomal RNA", at positions 524 to 776 of the family's 1533-position model. The record is from RNAcentral.